GACGAACGCUGGCGGCGUGCCUAAUACAUGCAAGUCGAGCGGACUGAUUAAGAGCUUGCUCUUAUGACGUUAGCGGCGGACGGGUGAGUAACACGUGGGCAACCUGCCCUGUAGAUCGGGAUAACACCGAGAAAUCGGUGCUAAUACCGGGUAAUAUCUGAGAUCACAUGAUCUUAGGUUAAAAGAUGGCUCCGGCUAUCACUACAGGAUGGGCCCGCGGCGCAUUAGCUAGUUGGUAAGGUAAUGGCUUACCAAGGCGACGAUGCGUAGCCGACCUGAGAGGGUGAUCGGCCACACUGGGACUGAGACACGGCCCAGACUCCUACGGGAGGCAGCAGUAGGGAAUCUUCCGCAAUGGACGAAAGUCUGACGGAGCAACGCCGCGUGAGUGAUGAAGGGGUGCGGCUCGUAAAGCGCUGUUGUUAGGGAAGAAACAGUACCGAACGAACUAGGUCGGUACCUUGACGGUACCUAACCAGAAAGCCACGGCUAACUACGUG
RNAcentral lists this ribosomal RNA (500 nucleotides) under uncultured bacterium. RNAcentral's name for it is "partial 16S ribosomal RNA". It matches the Rfam family "Bacterial small subunit ribosomal RNA", at positions 28 to 507 of the family's 1533-position model. The record is from RNAcentral.